This 404-nucleotide ribosomal RNA is filed under the name uncultured bacterium. RNAcentral's name for it is "bacterial SSU rRNA". It matches the Rfam family "Bacterial small subunit ribosomal RNA", at positions 355 to 776 of the family's 1533-position model. The record is from RNAcentral.
UGGGGAAUAUUGGACAAUGGGCGCAAGCCUGAUCCAGCCAUGCCGCGUGAGUGAUGAAGGUCUUCGGAUUGUAAAACUCUUUCGCCGGGGAAGAUAAUGACGGUACCCGGAGAAGAAGCUCCGGCUAACUUCGUGCCAGCAGCCGCGGUAAUACGAAGGGAGCUAGCGUUGUUCGGAAUUACUGGGCGUAAAGCGCACGUAGGCGGAUUUUUAAGUCAGGGGUGAAAUCCCAAGGCUCAACCUUGGAACUGCCUUUGAUACUGGAAGUCUCGAGAUCGGGAGAGGUGAGUGGAAUUCCUAGUGUAGAGGUGAAAUUCGUAGAUAUUAGGAAGAACACCAGUGGCGAAGGCGGCUCACUGGCCCGAUACUGACGCUGAGGUGCGAAAGCGUGGGGAGCAAACAGG